Molecule: transfer RNA, 65 nt
Filed under: Heterocephalus glaber (naked mole-rat)
Lineage: Eukaryota; Metazoa; Chordata; Mammalia; Rodentia; Bathyergidae
Rfam family: tRNA
About the family: Transfer RNA (tRNA) molecules are approximately 80 nucleotides in length. Their secondary structure includes four short double-helical elements and three loops (D, anti-codon, and T loops). Further hydrogen bonds mediate the characteristic L-shaped molecular structure. tRNAs have two regions of fundamental functional importance: the anti-codon, which is responsible for specific mRNA codon recognition, and the 3' end, to which the tRNAs corresponding amino acid is attached (by aminoacyl-tRNA synthetases). tRNAs cope with the degeneracy of the genetic code in two manners: having more than one tRNA (with a specific anti-codon) for a particular amino acid; and 'wobble' base-pairing, i.e. permitting non-standard base-pairing at the 3rd anti-codon position.
Source: Rfam by way of RNAcentral
GGUGUGGCCCAGUGGUAGAAUGUGUGCUUAACAAGCAAAAGGUCCUGGGUUCAAUUCCCAGCACC